UACGUAGGGGGCAAGCGUUAUCCGGAUUUACUGGGUGUAAAGGGGGCGUAGACGGCAGCGCAAGCCAGGAGUGAAAGCCCGGGGCCCAACCCCGGGACUGCUCUUGGAACUGCGCGGCUGGAGUGCAGGAGGGGCAGGCGGAAUUCCUGGGGUAGCGGUGAAAUGCGUAGAUAUCAGGAGGAACACCGGUGGCGAAGGCGGCCUGCUGGGCUGCGACUGACGUUGAGGCCCGAAAGCGUGGGGAGCAAACAGG
Molecule: ribosomal RNA, 253 nt
Filed under: uncultured bacterium
Lineage: Bacteria
Description: partial 16S ribosomal RNA
Rfam family: Bacterial small subunit ribosomal RNA
Source: RNAcentral